ACGCGAAGAACCUUACCUGGGCUCGAACUGCUCAGGACAUCCUUGGAAACAUGGAUUUCCCGCAAGGGACAGGAGUCGAGGUGCUGCAUGGCUGCCGUCAGCUCGUGUCGUGAGAUGUUGGGUUAAGUCCCGCAACGAGCGCAACCCUUGUCCUGUGUUACCAUGCCCAAAGGCGACCCUCACAAGAAACCCCCCGCAAUAAGCUGAAGAAAGGUGGGAAUAACUUCAAUUCCUCCUGGCCUUUAUGUCCAGGGCUACCCACUUGCUACAUUGGGCGGAACAAACCGCUGCUAACCCCCAGGGUGAACCCAAUCGAAAAAAGCCCCUCUCAUUUCGAAUUGCAUGCUGCAACUCACCUGCUUGAACCUGGAAUCCCUAUUAAUGCUAUAUCAAAACAACUCCGUGAAUACUUUCCCGGGUCUUGUACACCCCA
Molecule: ribosomal RNA, 433 nt
Filed under: uncultured bacterium
Lineage: Bacteria
Description: bacterial SSU rRNA
Rfam family: Bacterial small subunit ribosomal RNA
Source: RNAcentral